This is a long non-coding RNA of Carcharodon carcharias (great white shark), 998 nucleotides long. RefSeq lists it as uncharacterized. The transcript has 3 exons. The record is from RefSeq and is a predicted model, not a curated record. NCBI's taxonomy places the organism in Eukaryota, Metazoa, Chordata, Chondrichthyes, Lamniformes, Lamnidae.
UUUCCCAAAGGAAGGCAUAGCUUCAAGAUCAAGCAUUUGAAGACCUACAGCAAAGAGGGUGGAGGAACAGGUUUUACGGGACUGAUGUCCUUCCUACAACCAGUGCAGUUGCAGAAAGGGUCAAUGCUGUGUGAGCCAUAACCCACAGGAGUUGGAAGGAUGUUAGAGAAAAAAAAGGACCCGAAAACCUUAAGGAUCUGAAUGAGAGCUACAUCCAGGGAUGCUAGUAUAUUAUCUACAGAUCAUUUCAAACUUUUGUUACUCGUUCGAGUGAAAUAUUUGACUGAGUGCAGCAUCAAGGAGGGCAAAAUUGAAGUCAAGAGCAAUCAAGGGGAAAGCUCUCGACAAUUCGGAUUGAUACCUAAUACAAAGGAAUAUGGUCUGAACUUCAAAUAUCUUUCCUCAUAACUCACCCUGUUUACACAUUCAAGUUUUAUCUUCAAAAGUGAACCAUGCACCAAAAGAUAAAAACCAGACAUACAGUACCAAUGGUUACGCAUGGAUGAUAAUGUAGUGCAAAAUGAUGAAACAGGAAGUAGCACGUAUUUCACAAAUCAAAGGAAAUUUGGGAAGCAGGAAACAUCUGCAAUUGAAGCAUCAACAGUUUGUUACACCACAAUCUGGUGGAUAAAAACUUUAAAGUAACAUUCAGGGAAUUCACAGAAUUGUUACAAUGCAGGAGGCUGCCAUUUGACCCAUCUAAAAUUAAAUAUGGUUGCACUGAGACAAAAUAUAUGAUGUUAUUAAGAACAGAAUGAUAUAGCAACUGAACUAGGUUUCAUGUCUCUCCUAAAGCCUUAUUAGAGAUGAAGGAGCAUUGCACAAUCUGAAGCCACACCCAGGAUCUGAACACAACCGAUUUUCAUGCAUUUCUGCACAAUUGCUGAAUGAGAUGCCACAGAUUACCAGAUUGGACACCUGCUGUACAAUCAUUUUGCUUAUACAAGUACAAGCAAACACAUGGAAGAAGAAUAGGCCAUUCAUCUCAUCAAACUUUU